GGCCUCGUAGCUCAGAUGAUAAGAGAGUUGGCUGUACGAAUGCCUUCCUUUAAUGGCGUGGGUUCGAAUCCUAACGAGGCCG
Molecule: transfer RNA, 82 nt
Filed under: Schistocephalus solidus
Lineage: Eukaryota; Metazoa; Platyhelminthes; Cestoda; Diphyllobothriidea; Diphyllobothriidae
Rfam family: tRNA
About the family: Transfer RNA (tRNA) molecules are approximately 80 nucleotides in length. Their secondary structure includes four short double-helical elements and three loops (D, anti-codon, and T loops).
Source: Rfam by way of RNAcentral